UACAGAGGGUGCGAGCGUUAAUCGGAAUUACUGGGCGUAAAGCGCACGUAGGUGGCGACGUAAGUCGGGUGUGAAAGCCCCGGGCUCGACCUGGGAAUUGCAUUCGAGACUGCAUUGCUGGAGUACGGAAGAGGAAGGCGGAAUUCCCGGUGUAGCGGUGAAAUGCGUAGAUAUCGGGAGGAACAUCAGUGGCGAAGGCGGCCUUCUGGUCCAGUACUGACACUCAAGUGCGAAAGCGUGGGGAGCAAACAGG
Molecule: ribosomal RNA, 253 nt
Filed under: uncultured bacterium
Lineage: Bacteria
Description: partial 16S ribosomal RNA
Rfam family: Bacterial small subunit ribosomal RNA
Source: RNAcentral